GUCGAGUCGGCCUGCGCGGAAGAUGUAACGGGGCUAAGUAGUAAACCGAAGCUGCGGCAAUAUACUUUUGUAUAUUGGGUAGGGGAGCGUUCUGUAAGCGGUUGAAGGUGUGUGGUAACGCAUGCUGGACGUAUCAGAAGUGCGAAUGCUGACAUGAGUAACGAUAAAGGGGGUGAAAAACCUCCUCGCCGGAAGACCAAGGGUUCCUGUCCAACGUUAAUCGGGGCAGGGUAAGUCGACCCCUAAGGCGAGGCCGAAAGGCGUAGUCGAUGGGAAACGGGUUAAUAUUCCCGUACUUCUUACAAUUGCGAUGGGGGGACGGAGAAGGCUAGGUGGGCCUGGCGACGGUUGUCCAGGUUCAAGUGCGUAGGCUUAAGAGUUAGGUAAAUCCGGCUCUUUU
This 400-nucleotide ribosomal RNA is filed under the name Vibrio parahaemolyticus. RNAcentral describes it as "partial 23S ribosomal RNA". It matches the Rfam family "Bacterial large subunit ribosomal RNA", at positions 1148 to 1552 of the family's 2925-position model. The record is from RNAcentral. Lineage: Bacteria; Pseudomonadati; Pseudomonadota; Gammaproteobacteria; Vibrionales; Vibrionaceae.